Long non-coding RNA from Fukomys damarensis (Damara mole-rat), 263 nucleotides. RefSeq lists it as uncharacterized. The record is from RefSeq and is a predicted model, not a curated record. Lineage: Eukaryota; Metazoa; Chordata; Mammalia; Rodentia; Bathyergidae. The transcript has 3 exons.
CUCGCUCCCAUUCGGCUCUGGAAAGAGCGGGUGGAGAGUAGGCGGAGCUGAAUGGAGAGACCGGAAACUGCCUGGAGAGGAAAAUUUCGUCCUCAGUGUGACCCCAGUUUCCGAGGCUUGGAGGCGCCCCCUGGAGGGAAGAGGAGAGGGAGCGGCAGUGGACGCUCUGCGGGCUUCAGGGACCAGCGACCAAAGAGAGGCAUUUGGGACAUUGAGACACUUGCCGUUUCUGACCUGAACACUGGAACUAGGCAGGCAAAUCU